RNAcentral lists this long non-coding RNA (12603 nucleotides) under Triticum aestivum (bread wheat). RNAcentral describes it as "long non-coding RNA (TAES_LNC001251)". The record is from RNAcentral. Lineage: Eukaryota; Viridiplantae; Streptophyta; Magnoliopsida; Poales; Poaceae.
GGAUAAUUAAGCUACAGUGACCCUCUACUAAUGUUGCCACGUCACCACGAUUACUAUUGAUAAUCUCGCGAUGAUUCAAAACCCGUUCAAAUUUCAAAUUUAAAUAACAAGUCAAAUUAUAAAUUCAUCAAACUGAGAUUUAAAAAUGUUCAAAAGGUAGUAGAUAUUCACUAAAUAAUUAUAGAGCAUCAAUCAUCAUAUUGUAAAAAAAUAUCUGCCUCUAGUUUAAUUAAAACGGGAACCAACUGUAAUUAAAUUAACCAUUUAGGGUUGAACAAAUAUUUAUACAAUUCAAAAAUAUUUGAACCUUUUUUUUUCAACCUAAUAAUAUUGCUUAGCAUUUAAAUCUGAAGUUUCAUACUAGACAAAACUCGUUUGGUAGCAAAAUAGUAUAAACAGUAGCUAAGUGUAUAACAACAAAAAAAGAAGAUUAAAAUUGAAGUUUGCCCUAUGUAAUUUGGCCCACUAUGAUCAAAAGCUAGCCAGCCUACUAUGCCUUAUGGGCACUACACGCACAGGACCUGGCCCAGCCCAAGUCGUUGGUCGUCCCCAACCUCUCGAGUCGUGGACGCUGCUCGUCCGUCCAGCGCACGGAUGCCGCGCUAUCGGCCAUCCCGCGGUCGCAGAGAUGGAUAAGGACUCCCUUGACGCCUUUCUCUCCGCCAGGAACCCUAGCCAUCCCUUGAUCCCCUCACUCUCGUUUUCCUCCUCGUUUUCUUCCUCACCGAGCAGAGUCGUCACCUCGUCUUCGUCGAUCCCGCGACCACCGGCCUCCCCUCGCCACGCCAAGAUGUGCAGGAGCUCCGUCAUCCUCGACUACGUUGCAUCUGUACCAGGGAACCACGAGGACCACGCUACACCGACGGGAUCGAGCGUCUUCCUCAUCUACGGCCGUCACUGCCCCGCGUCCGAUCUGCCUCACCGGAGCUUCUCCGCCUCGUCGGGCACGUCCUCUGCCUCCCCCUGUGAGUGGCACCCCCAUUCCCCUUGUUCCCCCCUUCGUUCAUCGCUCCGUUGCGCCGCCCCGUGCCAUCCAUGUUCCUUCCAGUGGCUGCGGUCAUCGCGACCGCGUCCACCACCCAGCCCGCGUCCAGCCCGCGCCCCUGGUGUGCCCUGCAACCGCCCGCGCGUGCGGCCUCUGUGCCCACGCCGCACCCCUCCUGUCCUCGCCGUCCUUGCAUGCCGCCCGCGCCGGCAUGCUGCUUGUACUGCUGUUGUUGCCGCUGCACGGCUACUGGUGCUUCCAGCCUGCUACUGCUCCCGCUAGCUGCUGCCAAGCACUUGCCGCUGCUACCCAUCGUUGCUUGUGCGGCUAUAGCUACUACUGCUGUUGGUUGAGGCCGCAGGCACCUAGGCCUCAUGUGCGUGUCGUGGCCAUGGCCUUGUGCCUUUGCUAUGGUCAUGUGGUGGCCGGCCUAUUAGUUUAUUUUGGUUAUAUUAAUUAGUGAUUAAGUAUAGCCAAAUGACACGUGGACCCUGCUGCUAAUUAAAGGUUCAAACAAAUAAAAAUAUACAAGCCUAUGACAUGUAGGACCCACUUGUACUGUUCACAUGUUGACCAGUCAAAUGUUGACUAGGUCAACCUAGCCACUCGACCCCACUUGUAAGCCACUGUAACUAAGCUGCUGUUGUGUGCACUUAGCAAUUUUCUUUAAAUAAAACAAAUUAAAACAAAUUCUAAAAAUGCAAUAAACUUCGAUAAUUCAUAUAAAAUAAAUCGUAACUCGGAUGAAAAUACUUUAUACAUGAAAGUUGAUCAGAACGACGAGACGAAUCCGAAUACGCAGUCCGUUCGUCCGCCACACAUCCCUAGCAUAGCGACCGUGCAACAAUCCCUCUUCGGUUCAUUUGUCCGAAAACGUCAAACACCGGGAAUACUUUCCCGGAUAUUUUCCCCCUUCGCCAGUAGCACCUACUACUACGUUAGGUCACCUCUAGCAUCGCGUAAAACCAUGUUAUUGUGACGCCCCCGAUUCAAUCGUACACUAAUCAUGCACGCAAAUGUGUACGAUCAAGAUCAGGGACUCACGGGAAGAUAUCACAACACAACUCUACAAAUAAAAUAAGUCAUACAAGCAUCAUAAUACAAGCCAGGGGCCUCGAGGGCUCGAAUACAAGUGCUCGAUCAUAGACGAGUCAGCGGAAGCAACAAUAUCUGAGUACAGAUAUAAGUUAAACAAGUUGCCAUAAGAUGGCUAGCACAAACUGGGAUACAGAUCGAAAGAGGCGCAUGCCUCCUGCCUGGGAUCCUCCUAACUACUCCUGGUCGUCGUCGUCAGCCUGCACGUAGUAGUAGGCACCUCCAAUGUAGUAGUCGUCGUCGACGCUGGCUCCUGGCUCCUGGACUCCAGCAUCUGGUUGCGACAACCAGAAAGAAAGGAAAGGGGAAAAGGGGGGGAGAAAGCAACCGUGAGUACUCAUCCAAAGUACUCGCAAGCAAGGAACUACACUACAUAUGCAUGGGUAUAUGUGUAAGGAGGCAAUAUCAGUGGACUGAACUGCAGAAUGCCAGAAUAAGAGGGGGAUAGCUAAUCCUGUCGAAGACUACGCUUCUGGCAGCCUCCGUCUUGCAGCAUGUAGAAGAGAGUAGAUUGAAGUCCUCCAAGUAGCAUCUCCAAGUAGCAUAUCCAGGUAGCAUCUCGAAGCGCAUCUCCAGUCGCAUCGCAUAGCAUAAUCCUACCCGGCGAUCCUCUCCUCGUCGCCCUGUAGAAAAGCGAUCACCGGGUUGUCUGUGGAACUUGGAAGGGUGUGUUUUAUUAAGUAUCCGGUUCUAGUUGUCAUAAGGUCAAGGUACAACUCCAAGUCGUCCUGUUACCGAAGAUCACGGCUAUUCGAAUAGAUUAACUUCCCUGCAGGGGUGCACCAACUUACCCAGCACGCUUGAUCCCAUUUGGCCGGACACACUUCCCUGGGUCAUGCCCGGCCGCGGAAGAUCAACACGUCGCAGCCCCACCUAGGCAAAACAGAGAGGCCAGCACGCCGGUCUAAACCUAAGCGCACAGGGGUCUGGGCCCAUCGCCCAUAGCACACCUGCAUGUUGCGAGGGCGGCCGGAAGCAGAACUAGCCCCCUUAAUACAAGAGCAGGCUUACGUUCCAAUCCGGCGCGCGCCGCUCCGUCGCUGACGUCUGAAGUGCUUCGGCUGAUACCACGACGCCGGGAUACCCAUAACUACUCCCGCGUAGAUGGUUAGUGCGUAUAAGCUCGUAGCCAACUCAGAUCAAAUACCAAGAUCUCGUUAAGCGUGUUAAGUAUCCGCGAACGCCGAACAGGGCCAGGCCCACCUCUCUCCUAGGUGGUCUCAACCUGCCCUGUCGCUCCGCCACAAAGUAACCGUCGGGGACCGUCGGGAACCUAGGCCCACCUCUACCGGGAUGGAGCCACCUGUCCUUUCAGCCCCCAACUCCGAACAGUAUCAUAGGUAAUGUAACAGUGUAAAGUAUAUAGUAUAUGCCCGUGAUCACCUCCCGAAGUGAUCACAGCCCAGUAGUAUAGCAUGGCAGACGGACAAGAGUGUAGGGUCACUGAUGGAACACUAGCAUCCUAUACUAAGCAUUUAGGAUUGCGGGUAAGGUAUCAAUGACUGUAGCAGCAAUGACAGGCUAUGCAUCAGAAUAGGAUUAACGGAAAGCAGUAACAUGCUACACUACUCUAAUGCAAGCAGUAUAGAGAAGAGUAGGCGAUAUCUGGUGAUCAAAGGGGGGGCUUGCCUGGUUCCUCUGGCAAGAGAGAGGGGUCGUCAACUCCGUAGUCGAACUGGUCAGCAACAGCGUCGGUCUCGUAGUCUACCGGAGAGAAGAGGGGGAAGAAAUAAUGAAUACAGAGCAAACAAAGCACCACAAAAUAUAUCAAGGCAAUACGCGGUGUUCGGUGUGCCCUAACGCGGUAGUAGGUGAUACCGGUGAAGGGGGGAAAACCCCCGGGAAAGUAUUCCUGGUGUUUCGUGUUUUCGGGCAGAGGAGCCGGAGGGGGAAAGUUGCGGGUUCGAUAGGUUAGGGGUGUGUGGUGGACGAACGGGCUACGUAUCCGGGUUCGUCUCGUCGUUCUGAGCAACUUUCAUGUACAAAGUUUUUUCAUCUGAGCUACGGUUUAUUUUAUAUUAAUUUUAAAAGAUUAAAAUCAUUUUUAGCAUUUAUUUAAAUAUUUUAAUCCAACAUUAUCCAGAACAGUGCACGCUGACAUCAGCAUGACGUCAGCAUGACGUCAGCAGUCAACAGAGGCGUUGACUGGUCAACUGACGUGUGGGUCCCGUUUGUCAUUGACUGUUUAGUCUAAUUAAUGUUUAACUAAUCUAAUUACUGUUUAAUUAAACUAAUUAGUUAAUUAGGUUAAUCUAAUUAUGAUUAAUUAACUUAAUUAAUUCCUUAAUUAAUUAAUUAAUUUAAUUAUUAUUUAUUUAUUUAAUAUAUAUUUUUUAAUUCUUUUUUUUAUAAAACCGUUCUGGGGCGGGCCCAUAUGUCAUAGGCCCUGGGGCAUAACGGGCGACGGGUGCGGGGUGGCCCGAACGGGCGCUACGGGCACCCGACCGCAGGCAGAGGCCAUGGCCCGGCGCGGCUGGGCGUCGGCGGCCAAGGCGCCGGCCAAGGGAGGCAGCGGAGGUGGCCGCGGGGCGCAGCGAUGAGGGGUAGCGCAGGGAGGAGGCCGCGGGUGGUGGCCGAAGUGGGGACCGGACCGGCGAGCGGGAGGCACGGGUAGCAGGGGGCUUCGGUGGUGGCCGUGGCCAGUGACGGCAAGCGCGGGUGCCGGCGCGCUCCAGGGAAGCGCGGGCGUGGACAGAGCUCAGGGGGAGGGGGUUCGCAGCGGGCGUCGCCCGAAGCAAGCGGGCGCGCGAGGGAGAAGUCGGGGACGGGCGCGUGCGGUGUGCACGCGCUGGAGCCAAGAGGGGCGGUGACCACGACGGGACAGCGCGGGCGCGUGGCCACGCACGGGCGAGGGGCGACGGCGAGUGAGCGUGAGCUCGUGUGGAGAACGGCAACCGCGACGACGAGGAGAGAGGGAGAUGGGGAUGGCGCUCACAAGGGGUUGCAGGGGACUGGGCAGCGGGGCGCGAGGAGGAAGACGGGGACGCCGGCGACGUAGGGGAGGCAGUCCGGCGAGGUGGUCUCCGGCGACGGCGUCGAGCGCGUGGGGGUCGUUCGGGGAGGAUUGGUGGAGCGAGGCGGCGACGAUGGUGUUCCGGCGACGGAGUGGUGGGGCGGGACAGCCCGGCGACGAUGGGGCGGCGUCGGGCCCCGGCGUCGGGCUCGGGGGCAAGGGGAUCAGGGCAAGGUGNNNNNNNNNNNNNNNNNNNNNNNNNNNNNNNNNNNNNNNNNNNNNNNNNNNNNNNNNNNNNNNNNNNNNNNNNNNNNNNNNNNNNNNNNNNNNNNNNNNNNNNNNNNNNNNNNNNNNNNNNNNNNNNNNNNNNNNNNNNNNNNNNNNNNNNNNNNNNNNNNNNNNNNNNNNNNNNNNNNNNNNNNNNNNNNNNNNNNNNNNNNNNNNNNNNNNNNNNNNNNNNNNNNNNNNNNNNNNNNNNNNNNNNNNNNNNNNNNNNNNNNNNNNNNNNNNNNNNNNNNNNNNNNNNNUGGGGAUCGUGGGGAAGGGGGUAGGGUUUCGGUGCCCCCCGGGAGGGGUUAAUGGCCUGGGUCUGGGCCGGCUGUGUGGCUAGUUGGGCCUCCUGGCCCAGGGGAGAGGGGGGGUUCUCUUCUUCCUUUUUUUUGUUCUUUUGUUUUCUGGUUUUAAUCUUUUCUUUUAUUUACUUUAUUUGUUUCUGUUUUCCUUUUCUUAUUUAAUAGUUUAUAGUUUUUAGAAAAAGUGAAACUCACCCCUCAAUUAGAUUUGUAAAGUCAACUGUUCUCACAAAAAGUUUGGGACAAAAGUAAAGUACCUUGUAUUCUCUAUUAACUAAAAAGACAUUUAAGUUAUUGUUUCGGUCAUUGUUUUAUUUAUUUUAGUGCCUCUAAUUAUUUUAUAAUGAUGUGGAUCCUCCACCGUAAUUACUUAUGAAUUAUCCGACACAACCCGAUCAAUUUAGUUUUAAUAUUUGAAAACCUUUGUUGUUUGCCUAUUUUUGAAUUUGAAUUUCGAAUCAGUUUUGAACUAACGCGAGAUUAACAACAGUAACUGUGGUGACGUGGCAUCGUUAACGUGGGAUUACUGUAGCCUAAUUAUCCGGGCGUCACAGUUAUACUCUAUGAUGCAUUGAUUGCUCUGUUAUUUAUUGUGUUCCCCCUCCGUUACUUCUUUCCGGUAAACCCCGAGACUGCCGGCGACCCCCAGUUCGACUACGGUGUUAACGACCCCUCCUUCUUGCCAGAACAACUAGGCAAGCCCCCCCUUGAUCACCAGAUAUCGCCUACUCUCCUAUAUAUUGCUUGCAUUAGAGUAGUGUAGCAUGUUACUGCUUUUCGUUAGUCCUAUCUUGAUGCAUAGCCUGUCCUUGCUACUACUAUUGUUACCUUUACCUGCAAUCCUAAUGCUUAGUAUAGGAUGCUAGUUUAUCACCAGUGGCCCUACAUUCUUGUCCGUCUGCCAUGCUAUACUAUCGGGCCGUGAUCACUCGGGAGGUGAUCAUGGGUAUAUGCUAUAUACUUUAUACAUGAUACAUGUGAUGACUAAAAGACGGGUCGGUUCGUAGGAGUACCCGCGAGUGGAUCUUUGUGGCGAAGCGACAGGGCAGGUUGAGACCACCUAGGAGAGAGGUGGGCCUGGCCCUGGUCGGUAUUCGCGGUUAUUUCAAGAUAACACGUUUAACGAGAUCUUGGUAUUUGAUCUGAGUCUGGCCACUGGCCUAUACGCACUAACCAUCUACGCGGGGACAGUUAUGGGCACUCGACGUCGUGGUAUCAGUCAAAGCCUUCGUGACGUCAGCGACUGAGCAGCGCGCGCCAGAUUGGAACGUAAGCAUGCUCUUGUAUUAAGGGGGCUAGUUCUGCUUCCGGCCGCCCUCGCAACGUGCAGGUGUGCAAUGGGUGAUGGGCCCAGACCCCUGCGUCAUAGGAUUUAGACCGGUGUGCUGACCUCUCUGUUAUGCCUAGGUAGGGCUGCGACGUGUUAAUCUUCCAAGGCCGGGCAUGACCCAGGAAAGUGUGCCCGGCCAAAUGGGAUCGAGCGUGUUGGGUUAUGUGGUGCACCCCUGCAGGGAAGUUAAUCUAUUCGAAUAGCCGUGAUCUUCGGUAACAGGACGACUUGGAGUUGUACCUUGACCUUAUGACAACUAGAACAUGAUACUUAAUAAAAUACACCCUUCCAAGUGCCAGAUACAAUCGGUGAUCGUUCUCUCAUAGGGCAACGAGGGGAGGAUCAUCGGUUAAGGUUAUGCUAUGCGAUGCUACUUGGUGAACUUACCAUCUACUCUCUUCUACAUGCUGCAAGAUGGAGGUGGCCAGAAGCGUAGUCUUCGAUAGGACUAGCUAUCCCCCUCUUAUUCCGGCAUUCUGCAGUUCAGUCCACAUAUGAUACCCUUAUUCCAUUUGAUACCAAUGCAUACAUAUGUAGUGUAGCUCCUUGCUUGCGAGUAAUUUGGAUGAGUACUCACAGUUGCUUUGCUCCUCCUUUUCCCCCUUCCUAUACCCGAUUGCUGCGACCAGACGUUGGAGCCCAGGAGCCAGACGCCACUGUCGAUGACGACUACUACUACUCGGGAGGUGCCUACUACUACGUGUAGCCCGCUGUCGAUGACCAGGAGUAGUUUAGGAGGAUCCCAGGCAGGAGGCCUGCGCCUCUUUCGAUCUGUAUCCCAGUUUGUGCUAGCCUUCUUAAGGCAAACUUGUUUAACUUAUGUCUAUACUCAGAUAUUGUUGCUUCCGCUGACUCGCCUAUGAUCGAGCUCUUGCAUUCGAGCCCUCGAGGCCCCUAGCUUGUAAUAUGAUGCUUGUAUGACUUAUUUUAUUUGUAGAGUUGUGUUGUGAUAUCUUCUCGUUUGUCCCUGAUCUUGAUCGUACACGUUUGCGUGUAUGAUUAGUGUAUGAUUGAAUCGGGGGCGUCACAAGUUGGUAUCAGAGCCGACUUCCUGUAGGAAUCCCCCUUCCAAACUCCUUGGCCGAAGUUGAGUCUAGUCAUUGCAAAACUUUUACUAACAUGGUUGUGUGCCUUACGGGCCCACGUCGUCAUUGGGUGGUAUUACGAUCUUUUACUCCUCACCUAUAUUGUGGGACUCUAAUCUCUCUUCUAUUCGGGUUAAAUGAUUUUUCUAAAAUCUAACGUUAGGUUCUCGAGAAUACUUCUCCCGGAAAGCCCCUUUAGUCCAGAUGACCACCUGCUGCAUCAGAAGAUUUCAGAGAUACUCUUCGAUGGUCUCUCAAGACUUUGUGCCCACCGCUUUUGCUGCUCCCGACCACCGAUAAAUCCUUAUGGAUAACUACUUAUGCUUGUCGUUCAUACCUUAGUUCCCAGUUGAUCUUGAGAUUACAAGAUACCUCGAAAUUCUCUCUAUUGUUCCGAAAAUACUUUGUGUCCACUGCCCUUGCUGUUCUUUGCAACCUGAAUACCCCUAUGAAUAAUUUCUCGCACUUAUCAAGUAUCCGAUCAUCCCUAGUGGAUACAUGUAUUUCACAAAAGUCUUCGAAAUAUCAUUCGAUCUUCCAAAAAUACUCAACAACUUAUUGCUCUUGAAGUUCUUGCUUGCUUGCAAUAUGAUUAUCCCCAUAAGUCUGGUAAUCUUAUUGACCUCCUUUGUCAUUAUCAUUUUGAGUCUGUUAAUUCGAUAUGAUUGUGAGUGCUCGCAAUCAUCAGUCAAAACUAAAGUUCAUCCUUCCGGCUCAGACAUCAUAUUAAACAUGAGCUGAAUCUCGACCAAUCAAAUUGCCAUUGAUUGUACCCCUAAGCCUACUCAACUUAUCCAUCCUUGAUCAGAGUGUUUGCUUCUGAUCCCUUGAUUUGAAGAUCAUAAUUCCUUUACAUUUCGGCUUUGAAUUAGUCAGUUGUUUCUAUAGUCUGAUGUCCUUGCAUCCCUUCUUAUUCUGGUUGGGUACCGAUGCUCACAUCAGCUCGGUUAUGGACCGUCAGAUCCUUUGCUGGAUUUAUCAUCUGACAUUGUCCUUCGUUUACGAAAACCUCGGGAAAUUCCUUCCCUAAUACAUAAAGCCUUUGGUAAGUUGUUCUCUGUUUUCUCAACCAUGCUCUGUUUUCGAGCUGGUGGUAUUUACUAUUGAAGCUUGUGGUAUAUGUUUCUAAGAUACCCCGAUGGUUUGAACCUAUACCUUCUCUAAAACCGUGUGAACCCGAAAGUUUUCACGAGUCAUAUUCUCCUGGUGAUUUACCAAAUAAAAUUUCAACACUACAAUAUUUCCGAAAACGAGAAGUGAAUGAAAGGUUAUGCAUUGCAGAAGUGGGAGUCGACCUUGAACCUUUGUGUUCAUGCCCACGGACACGAUGUGGAACUUAUCAUGAAAGCUUCUUGCAAGAAUAUCAUUUGAAUAAUUCUUCUGGCAUCGUAAAUUGGACCCCUUGUAGUCAUGGUUCCAACCAUGUUAACCUUAUUCAAUGUAUCCGAAAGGAAACCAUUCCUUUGCCUCGUCUAUUCUGACAAGAUUAAAGUAUCUCCUAUUGCAAGUCAACGCUCCAGUUCAGAUUCUAUUCUGAUCUUCCUUCGAAUAUUACCCUCUGAUAUCUCGAGAAUGCCACGGAACUACAUAACUUCUCAUGAGUUCUUCAUCAACUAUUAUUCUUGCCUAUUCCAUUUUACCAACGGGUUCUGAGUUGUUAGAACCCUUCAAGGACACCGACAACUGAACCAAGUCUGCAAUGUGAUUUAACAACUCUUAGUAAUCUUCAUUGCUUAUGAGUAUGUACUCGGUCGUAUCAUUCCCAGCUGAUUGACUACAUCAUCAUCGUCGGGCUGACUACAUAACCAUCCUACCUAUGUCCUUCAUCCUCGGGACACAAUCCCGACAGUGCUCUAAGAUUACAUCAAACUUUCACCAUCAUAUUGUUUGUCUUGAGAGACAACUCUGAAUUCUGAGAUGGCAUCUUAUCUAUGGUUAUAAUAUCCUUUUGCUUCACCAUUCCCUUGGCUUGAUGUCGUCACCGAGCGAUUGCAUCUUCAUGGAUCUUCUAGACAAAAUUUGUCGUGAUCAUCAUCAACAUUUUGACUCCUUCCAAAAUAUCAAUCAAAUUCAUGAUGACAAGUACCAUCCUUGCCCCUCGAUGAUUUGUGUUAUCAUCGGCAACAUUAAUGCCCUCCCUCCAACACAAACUUGCUCAUGUUUUGUGCAUUACCUUUAGUUCCUUUCUAUCCAGCUUGUGUUAUGUUCUACCUUGGAGUAUUACCAUCUUUUAUAUCAAGGAUGCCAUGGGAAUUUCACCACCUCUUGAGAAUUCUUGAUAUAGGUGAUACUUAUCACCAUCAGCAUUUGACAUUUCAUUCUUAGACCAUUGGUUAUCGAAUCACCAUUCUAACAUUGAUUAUGCUACCUAAGACCGUAUUUCAGGUGCACCUUCAACCAAUGUUUAAUUGUGUAUGUUUUCCUCAAGCAUACCUCAUUAUAUCAUUUGAUCUGACAAAUGUUAUCUUCUUGUUCACAUAAUUGUGGAAAUCCAUCUUUUAGUAAAACUCGAGGAAUUGCUGCUGAGUCCAUCAGCCAUGCCCUCGUCAUUUCCUUGGUUUAAUAAUGAACUCUUGUUUCAGAACUCGCUUCCAUAGUUCAUUUCCCGAGGAUUCUACAAUGUCAUCUCGUCAAUUUGUGUCGCACCUUUUUCUUCUCAGGCAUCCUGAGUCUGAGGUAUCUUGACACCAAUCAGAUCUGAAUCUUGGUCAGAUAUGAUGGUUGGAAUAUAUCUUCAAGAGUUAUAACAUUGGUCUUUAUAUGACCCGUAAGGUGAUGUCAUGCCUAGCACACCUGGCCGGAGGCUCUAUUGUUAUAGUUUCCCUUUUAGCAAGCUUAGUGAAUCUUCCAUGAGGAAAUCGUAAGACUUAUUUUAUAAGUUGUUCCUGAUGGACCCUUUGUGUAUCCAAAGUCUGAUCUUUACCCAUUGACCAUGUCAAUGCUAUCUCGAAGCAUGUCGAUGGUACUCCAACUCUUCAAUAAGUACAUUUGAAGCACAAUGCCAAAUUUUCUUUGUCAUUUAUCCUAACACCGUUGUACGGGUAGUGUCAUGAAAUUUCUAUCCCCUUACCUAAAUGGUUUUCUACUUUCUAUCCUAUCAUGGAUAUCAUGCUUUGCUUAUCCUUGGGAAGGAUAUACCCCUGAAAUAUGUGUUUAAACACAUUUUCCUUUCCAUUGUUUGGAUUAAAUCUGAUAACCAUAUUUUCCUUCCCAUUGGUUUGUUUAAACCCUUAUUGUGAUUUGUAUGAUAUAAGCAGUAAUAUUCCCUGCUUAUGUAAACACCUCGGUGUACAACUCGGUCAGUAAGACCCUGUUACUAUUGUUGAUGACAUUCCGGUAACCACCGAUGGACGAGAACUUUGCCUAUUGGCCCGCCUCAUUUCAACGAGCAGGAAAAUGGUUCUCUUUGUCCCUCGCCCUUGGUACCAACGUUGUUGCCAACAUGACAGGCUAUCCUCUGACAUGACUUGCUAUCAUGACCGAUGUCAACGCCCUUCCCACUUUUAACCACAUGCUGGGCCCACAACCCACAGUUCCACAGGAUCGAAACCUGACUCCUCUACAUCCCUGUGUCCAAAGUUAUUCCUCGCACUUGGCUUGGCUUCGUAUGUAAUUCACGAGCCACCUUCCUAUAGAUCUACUAUAAAAUCAAACGCAAUGUUUAUUUCGUUGCUCUGAACACCCUUCAUACUCUACUUCAGGCAUCAAACGAUUGUUUGCCCGUUUGGAACUUUCGCACCCUCUUAUAAUGCUUUCGAUGUGUCCCAUGUCAUCAACUCGAGAGUUACUUUAUGCUUCUUCCCCGAAUUAACCAUCUGAUGCUCAAUCUUGUUAAAAAUCGGUCCUUAUAGAGUUUCCCCUCUCUCGUAAGUACCAUGAAGAUCCUGAAGAAAGGACGACAACUUCAUCAUGAAAUCAAGACAUCAACGAUAUGGAUCAACUUCUUCGAGACGAGCAGCCAAGAAUGACAAGAUCCGUUAGAGUUUCGUAACCACAACUCUUCCCCUUACACCACCUCUUAAAUCUCGGGACGAGAAUUCUUGUAGUGGAGGAGAAUUGUGAUGCCCGGAUAAUUAAGCUACAGUGACCCUUUACUAAUGUUGCCACGUCACCACGAUUACUAUUGAUAAUCUCGCGAUGAUUCAAAACCCGUUCAAAUUUCAAAUCUAAAUAAUAAGUCAAAUUAUAAAUUCAUCAAACUGAGAUUUAAAAAUGUUCAAAAGGUAGUAGAUAUUCACUAAAUAAUUAUAGAGCAUCAAUCAUCAUAUUGUAAAUAACUAUCUGCCUCUAGUUUAAUUAAAACGGGAACCAACUGUAAUUAAAUUAACCAUUUACGAUUGAACAAAUAUUUAUACAAUUCAAAAAUAUUUGAACCCUUUUUUUGCAACCUAAUAAUAUUGCUUAGCAUUUAAAUCUGAAGUUUCAUACUAGACAAAACUCGUUUGGUAGCAAAAUAGUAUAAACAGUAGCUAAGUGUAUAACAACAAAAAAAGAAGAUUAAAAUUGAAGUUGCCCUGUGCAAUUUGGCCCACUAUGAUCAAAAGCUAGCCAGCCUACUAUGCCUUAUGGGCACUACACACACA